Molecule: ribosomal RNA, 505 nt
Filed under: uncultured bacterium
Lineage: Bacteria
Description: partial 16S ribosomal RNA
Rfam family: Bacterial small subunit ribosomal RNA
Source: RNAcentral
GACGAACGCUGGCGGCGUGCCUAAUACAUGCAAGUAGAACGCACAGUUUAUACCGUAGCUUGCUACACCAUACACUGUGAGUUGCGAACGGGUGAGUAACGCGUAGGUAACCUGCCUGGUAGCGGGGGAUAACUAUUGGAAACGAUAGCUAAUACCGCAUAAUAUUAAUUAUUGCAUGAUAAUUGAUUGAAAGAUGCAAUUGCAUCACUACCAGAUGGACCUGCGUUGUAUUAGCUAGUAGGUGAGGUAACGGCUCACCUAGGCGACGAUACAUAGCCGACCUGAGAGGGUGGUCGGCCACGCUGGGACUGUGACACGCCCCAGACUCCUACGGGAGGCAGCAGUAGGGAAUCGUCGGCAAUGGACGAAAGUCUGACCGAGCAACGCCGCGUGAGUGAAGAAGGUUGUCGGAUCGUAAAGCUCUGUUGUAAGGGAAGAACGGGUGUGAGAGUGGAAAGUUCACACUGUGACGGUAUCUUACCAGAAAGGGACGGCUAACUACGUG